UAUGUUCAAUUGGAUCAUUUUUUAUUGAGAUAUUGUUGAAGAUAUGAAAGUGGUGAAGCUGAGUAUAUACGUACAUAUAUAUAGAGGUAUAUCAUCAUCCAAGACAGAGAAAUGAAGACGAGGAGGGAGGAGGACAUGGAGAUCGUCUGGCAAACUCCGGCGAACCCACCGGAGCGCCACGAUUACAUCUUCCGCAACGGUGUGCGCUACGUGAGACCCUACUACUUCGAGUUCAUCUGUCAUGUCAAGAAUCGCUGGGCUGGGAAGACCAUUGUUGAUUUGUUUUCUGAUGAAUUCAAAGGAAGACCAUAUGAUUACUAUGUUUCUGCUGUUAAAUCUGGACGGAUACAAGUUGAUGGAGAGAUGGUGCCUGUUUCAUACAUAGUUCAGCCAUCGCAGAAGAUAAGCCACUUCUUACACAGGCAUGAACCACCAGUGAAGGCAAUGGAGGUUUCAGUCCUGCAAAAAGAACUAGAUGUGUUGACUGUAUGUAAACCUGCAUCUGUCCCGGUGCAUCCGUGUGGUCAAUAUCGUAAAAACACAGUUGUCGGCAUCCUCCAAGCAGAACAUGGAUUGGCAUCUCUAUUUCGUAUCCACCCUAUGUUUUGCAGCAUGUUCCUACUGGUUGUACAGAAACAUAUUUUAAUUCUAUUCAUCGAUUGGAUCGCUUGGUAUCUGGGCUCCUUAUCUUGGCGACAAGUGCUUCUAAGGCUGACCUUUUUAGGCAGCAGGUUGUGGUUGUUCCAGAUUGAAGCUGGGAUGGUGGAGAAACAGUAUGUUGCAAAGGUUAUUGGGGUAUUUCCAGAGGAUGAGCAAGUUGUGAAUGCCAAUGUAAAUUACAAUGCCCGAGAAGGGAGGAGCACAACAGAGGUGGAAUCUGUUGAAAACGGUAGUACUGCACUGAAGGGAAAGGCUGCUUGUACAAAAUUUACUAGGAUAAGUACCAAUGGGACUCAUAGCAUCAUUCUGUGUGAACCAAUCACUGGAAGAACUCAUCAAAUACGUGUUCAUCUGCAAUAUAUGGGCCAUCCAAUAGCCAACGACAUGCUCUACCUCUCUGAAGUUACUGAUCGUUCUACUAAAGGAAUGUGUGCUGAUAGAGCUGCGGCUAAAUCAGCCCAGUCUCUACCAUCCAAUCCUGAUAAAGACUGUUCUGCUGGAUCUGAAGAGAACUCCAAGGAAGAUUUUAGCAUUGAUCCGAUGUGUACAAAUUGUCCCAAUUUGGCUCCUAAAGGAUAUGAUGGGCAUGAGGAAGGUCUAUGGCUGCAUUGUGUUCGAUAUACUGGACCCGACUGGACUUACGAAUGUUCAUAUCCGGAUUGGGCAUUGCUUGACUAAUCUGUUGUAUCAUGGACCACUCGAGCGAAGUAUUGGUCCCUUGAGCGAAGAAUCCCUGCUCCCUUGAGCGAAGAAUCCCUGCUCCCAGAAGUUCAACCUGUCUGCAAAUAUGUGGGGAGAGGUCGAUGUGCGCUCGAGCGAACCUUUUGGUGGCUCGAGGGAAGGCUGGUUUGAUUUCACGCGCAUGAAGCACAUUACUCGAGCAACAAUUUCAUGGCUCGAGUGGUCCCCGUGACCCUGUUCAGUAUAAAGCUAUGCGAAAGAUAGAAGUUAGGGUUACAACUUUCAGAUCUGAUUCUUGAGAGUUAAGGUUUUCCCCUAGAGCUUCUUUACUUGUUUCCUUUGAUGUCUUUGUGAGUUUAUCGCAUGAUUUAAGUCGAUUACAUCAAAGGGUUGUUUGAUCAUCCUAAUCAAAAAGUUUUUGAUCAGUGGAUUCCAAAGAUUUGAGCGUGAAGGCUUUGAAGGAGUUUGAAGCGGCUCGUUGUUGUGGAUUCGACAUGGAUGUUGUGGAUUCAACAUCAGACUAGUCAAUUCCGAGACAAAGGCGUUGGUGAAAGAGGCACAAGUUGUUGAAGACAAUUUUACAAAGUGUUGGGUUUUUCAAUUGGUAUUAGAGCUUGGGAUCCUGAAGGUUGGCGCACAAUUGAGAAGAAUGUUGAAGCACCGUUUGUGAUUGAUCCGGAUACCAAUUAAAAGGUUGCCAAGCUGACUAAGGAGAGGAGUAUUGUUGAAAAGGUUGACAUGGACAGCAAUGAAAGAGUUUUGAAUAUGAUCAAAGAAACACUUUUUGAAGGAGAACAACAUCGGAUCUCUCAUUGCAAUAAUGCCAAAGAUGCAUAGGCUGUUCUUAUGCAAUUUCAUGAAAGCAUAAAGUCAUCUUCACAACCAUCCAGCAAUCUCCACAUCAAUGCCUUAGUCACUCGACUGGAUGCUCCCAAGGAGGAAGAAAAACAAAAGAAGAUGAUGAAAUCUCAGAGGAUGAUGAUGAGAUUGAUGGUGAAGAGCUUCAACAAGCUUAUGAAAAGCUAUACAGGGAAUCUCCAAACUUAUCCAGAUUAAAUGACAAACUCACUAUCAAACUCAAAGCCUAUGAAAGUAAGAAUGUCAAGUUAAAAGAGGAGGUCUCUAAAGCUAGGAAGGAUGCCAUCAAGAUCUCAAGUGAUAAACAAGCUCUCUGUGCAAAACUCCUGUCCUGCGAAAUCAAGAGGAAUGAACUUCUGAAAAUUAAUGCCACAUACGAAGACAAGAUUGAAUCCCUCGAGAUGUCUUAAGUUGCCCUGGAAGAGUUAGUCAGUCAGAAAGAGAAAGAAAUCAAAAUGCUAGAGCUAUAAUUGACAUGUGGAAUAGUGAAUCGAAGACACUUGAAGACAUCAUUGGGUCUCAACAAAUGAGCAGUGACAAAAGUGGGAUAGGCUAUGGUGAUGCAACACAACAAAAAGGAAAGCCUCCUACAGCUCAUGACAAACGGACUCAAGCCAAGGGAAAGUUGAAGAUCCAACAGGAUGACAAGCCUCUCCAUCAACCUAAAGGUGGUAUGAUCAGUGAAAGGGAAGUAAAACCUGUUUUAUUUGUCAUUAUUGUGGUAGGUAUGGCCACAUUUGCCCUUAUUGUUUUGAGUUAUUUGGUAGAGUGUCUCAAAAAGUUGGAAAUUCUAAUACUUUAUGGGUUAUGAGACAAUCUUACUUGUCUAGGUGGAAUACUAGGAUUCAUAAUGGUGUUCACAAUGCUAAGACAUUUACCAAGAAUGCCAGUCCUUUUUCUGUGAAGACCAGAAAGAUAUGGAUGAGAAAAAGUGACUUAACUUGUUUUGUUUUGUUGUUUACACUGCAUUGAAAGCACGUGACUUGCAUAUGUGGUUUCUUAAUAGUGGGUUCUCUCGUCACAUGUCUGGUGAAAAAUCCUAUUUCACAUCUCUCGAGAAAUAUGAAGGAGGAAUUGUUACAUUUGGAGAUGGUGGCACCUUUAAAAUCA
Camellia sinensis is the source of this 3309-nucleotide RNA transcript. It is a transcript of the gene named Pseudouridine synthase family protein, with no coding region annotated. Lineage: Eukaryota; Viridiplantae; Streptophyta; Magnoliopsida; Ericales; Theaceae. The record is from RefSeq and is a predicted model, not a curated record.